RNAcentral lists this ribosomal RNA (535 nucleotides) under Anophryoides haemophila. RNAcentral describes it as "partial Bacterial large subunit ribosomal RNA". It matches the Rfam family "Bacterial large subunit ribosomal RNA", at positions 775 to 1306 of the family's 2925-position model. The record is from RNAcentral. Lineage: Eukaryota; Ciliophora; Oligohymenophorea; Philasterida; Glauconematidae.
CGAACCAGUUUCCGUUGAAAAGGAUUUGGAUGACGUGUGGGUAGGGGUGAAAGGCCAAUCAAACUGAGAAAUAGCUCGUACUCCCCGAAAUGUUUUUAGGAACAGCCUCGAGGUUGAGUCUUAUAGAGGUAGAGCUACUGAUUGGGCUAGGGGGCUUCACCGCCUACCAAACCCUGACAAACUCCGAAUGCUAUAAGAUAUACUCGGGAGUGAGCCCAUGGGUGCUAAGGUCCGUGGGCGAGAGGGAAACAACCCAGACCAUCAGCUAAGGUCCCCAAAUGUAUGUUAAGUUGAUUGAACGUGGUCCGACUGCAUUGACAGCUAGGAUGUUGGCUUGGAAGCAGCCAUUCAUUUAAAGAGUGCGUAACAGCUCACUAGUCGAGCGGUUGGGCGUGGAUAAUAAUCGGGCAUCAAACAUACUACCGAAGCUAUGGAUUGCAAUGAAUAAUUGCACUGGUAGGGGAGCAUUCUAACAGCAUUGAAGGUGUGGCGUCAGCCAUGCUGGAGCAGUUAGAAAAGCAAAUGUAGGCAUAAG